UGCGUAGGUGGCAUGGUAAGUCAGAUGUGAAAACUUGGGGCUCAACUUCAAGAUUGCAUCUGAAACUACUAAGCUAGAGUGCAGGAGAGGAAAGCGGAAUUCCGAGUGUAGCGGUGAAAUGCGUAGAUAUUCGGAGGAACACCAGUAGCGAAGGCGGCUUUCUGGACUGUAACUGACACUGAGGCACGAAAGCGUGGGGAGCGAACA
This 207-nucleotide ribosomal RNA is filed under the name uncultured bacterium. RNAcentral describes it as "partial 16S ribosomal RNA". It matches the Rfam family "Bacterial small subunit ribosomal RNA", at positions 568 to 774 of the family's 1533-position model. The record is from RNAcentral.